Molecule: long non-coding RNA, 539 nt
Organism: Carassius carassius (crucian carp)
Lineage: Eukaryota; Metazoa; Chordata; Actinopteri; Cypriniformes; Cyprinidae
Exons: 3
Source: RefSeq, a predicted model, not a curated record
GGCCAAUCAGCUCGCGCUGGCCUCGCAUGAUGUCACGCGCCAGCUAGCUCUCGGAAGAAAAGCCACCUGCGCCGCGCGCUCCGCUCCUCCCCGCCGGAUGCAACCGAGAAAACACGGACGCGUUAGUUUUCAGCUUUAAAGUUUGUUUUAUAGGAAUUAACGGCGUGACAUACGGUCACACACAGUACAAAAGUGUAAAUCUCGGCGAGUGUUUUUGUCCGCGCCGAAGCUUCGAGGAGUUCUCGCGAGAGAGUUUGAGGCUUAAUAACAGUCGUCUGGCUGACGUGGAUCCUCCCUCAGUCCUGCAGUGAUCUGAAAGAAGCUGCAAGGCAUGGAGGGUAAGACCAGACUUUGUUCUACAUGUCUUGUGUAGAUUGUGUGGAUAAAAUCUCACAGUCUUCUUCUUUCAUUACUAUACAAGCUCAUAGUUGAUGGUCUAAACGAAGCACUAGAACUCAGUACUGAACUUUAGUGUGUAACACAGGCCGCACUAUUUGUGCUCCGGACAUGAAUGAUUCCUCAAGUUCAACUAAUGUGUC